RNAcentral lists this ribosomal RNA (799 nucleotides) under uncultured Glomeromycotina. RNAcentral describes it as "SSU rRNA". It matches the Rfam family "Eukaryotic small subunit ribosomal RNA", at positions 310 to 1113 of the family's 1831-position model. Lineage: Eukaryota; Fungi; Glomeromycota. The record is from RNAcentral.
GAUUAUCAACUUUCGAUGGUAGGAUAGAGGCCUACCAUGGUGGUAACGGGUAACGGGGUGUUAGGGCACGACACCGGAGAGGGAGCUGAGAAACGGCUACCACAUCCAAGGAUGGCAGCAGGCGCGCAAAUUACCCAAUCCCGACACGGGGAGGUAGUGACAAUAAAUAACAAUACGGGGUUCUUUAGGAUUUCGUAAUUGGAAUGAGUACAAUUUAAAUCUCUUAACGAGGAACAAUUGGAGGGCAAGUCUGGUGCCAGCAGCCGCGGUAAUUCCAGCUCCAAUAGCGUAUAUUAAAGUUGUUGCAGUUAAAAAGCUCGUAGUUGAAUUUCGGGAUCAAUAUGUUGGUCGUGCCUCGGUACGUACUAGCUUAUUGGUUUCUCCUUUCUGAAGAACCAUGAUGUCAUUUAUUUGGUGUCGUGGGGAAUCAGGACUGUUACUUUGAAAAAAUUAGAGUGUUUAAAGCAGGCUCACGCUUGAAUACAUUAGCAUGGAAUAAUGAAAUAGGACGUUUGAUUCUAUUUUGUUGGUUUCUAGGAUCGACGUAAUGAUUAAUAGGGAUAGUUGGGGGCAUUAGUAUUCAAUUGUCAGAGGUGAAAUUCUUGGAUUUAUUGAAGACUAACUACUGCGAAAGCAUUUGCCAAGGAUGUUUUCAUUAAUCAAGAACGAAAGUUAGGGGAUCGAAGACGAUCAGAUACCGUCGUAGUCUUAACCAUAAACUAUGCCGACUAGGGAUCGGAUGAUGUUAAUUUUUUAAUGACUCAUUCGGCGCCUUACGGGAAACCAAAGUGUUUGGGUU